Molecule: long non-coding RNA, 2732 nt
Organism: Rhinolophus ferrumequinum (greater horseshoe bat)
Lineage: Eukaryota; Metazoa; Chordata; Mammalia; Chiroptera; Rhinolophidae
Exons: 6
Source: RefSeq, a predicted model, not a curated record
GGAGGAGACCCAUCCUCUAGCCCCUCCCACUCCUCUGUCCAUCAGAAACAAUCUGUCAGCUUGGGAGCCUGGGGACCUGCAUGUCUCUCACUCUGACCUUGGCCAGCAGCCGGCUCCCGUGACUCAUUUUCUUCAUCUGUACAAUGAGACCAUUGGACUGGAUGUUCCCUAAGACUCCUUCCAGCACAAUGAAUCAACAGUUUCUCCUCCACUCCCCCACCACCCCCCAGGUCCCCUACACUGCCCGCUCUGCCAUCUAGUGCUGCCGGAGGGGGUGUAUAUAAGGUUUAGUCGGUCCCUCCAGGAGAUCCCAGGUGCCCUCACCCCAGAGAUCUCUGCGGCUGGUCCCGCGGCCCCUCCAUACCUGGUGAUGCGCCGCGGUUCCAUGAAGCUGGGCGAGUCCCGGCGUCGCUUGCGGAUGGAAAUUUUCCAGGGGAAAAGACAAUGGGAAGAGAGUAGCAAGGAAAGUGUCCUUGCCUGAUCCUGGUAUUCUGAAAGACAAGAAUAGCUUCGUGAUCUACAGAGAACAGAGACCACAGUGACAGCACAGCCUGAGCCAGGGAGGGGAGGGCGGGCCUCAUGAGUCCCGCUGUGCCCAGGGAGAAAAGUGUUGUGACACAUGAAAGAGAGCAAGGAAGACAGACCACAGCUACUGAGGGACAAAUAUUUCAGGGACAAAUCUCUAGCAGAGCACCCACUAAUCUGCUAAUCUUGAAUCUCAAGAAUGCCAUUGAAUUCCCAAACACCAGCCUGCGCCUGGCAGCGUUGAAGUCACCCAGGGGAGGUGUUCCUCCUGUGACAGAACAAGCUGAGCCCUACAUAGCUGACCAAAGCGGGCCCAAAGAGUCCACUGCAGAGGAGCCAAGAACGUGUCAAGGUUGAACAUGGGACACGUGUUGGACUGGCCGCCAUGGGCAAGGUUCUGACCUGGGAAAAGACCGCCCGUCACAUGCUCUUCCUCACGCCAGCAGUUUCGCUAAUUAACUGGUUCUGUUUCCUAUUAGCCAGGAGCAUAAUGGCCAACUGACAGAUGAAUGAAUCCAGACAGAGGAGGAGGGCAGAUCCCAGGCAAAGGCUCUGCCCUGUCUGCUCUUUCACUCAGCCAGCGUGGCAGGUCUGCCAGGGCCCUGGAGGGGGGGUAGUGGCAGCAGGGAUGGUGAUGCAUCAGGCCUGGGGCCUCUCCUUUAGCUCCUCACAGUGCAGGGCAGAAAUAUGACACUGUGCAUAUUAUAAUGACUAUCAUGUUAUCAGGACGGUAAUUCGCAAAAUAAUAAAAGCUCUGGGAGUGACUCUGCCCGUUGAGACCCUUUCCCGAGUGAGAGGUGUUACGGACUCCAACGGGCAGAUAGAUGUCAGGUACUAUUCUAAGCACUUUACAUUUAUCUCACUUAAUCAUUUAAUGCUCAGACAAGCCUCUGAUGUGGGGACCACAAUUAAUGUUCCCGUCUUACAGAUAAAAUAAGGAGGCGCAGAGAUCACACUAUGUAUAAAAUUAGGUGCAAGGAAAAAAAGACGAAUUUGUUCACUGUGUGAGUAGUAGCUUAUGAAUUUUGUUUUCUAUAAACCGUCUCUCCCAAACGUGUUAUUAUAUUACAUAACUAUGAAAACAAUGAUUUUUACGAGUUGUCAUUGUUUAUCAGAGUGAAAUAAGGAAAAAGAACUGAUAGCAGCUACAAGAAGUAAAGAAAACGUCGUGCAUACUCCAAAAGGAGAAGGUGUUCCUUUUAUCCCAGGAAUAUGGGUUUUUAGAGGCAGCCUUGGAUGAUGGGGUGUUUUGAACCUGUGCAGGAGGGGCUGGGGUGUUUCAGGCUGAGGGCUCAGUAUGAGCAACGUCAUGGAAGUGAUAAGAUGUGGGGCAUAGCUGGGAACUGCCAGCAGGUCGUGGCUGCUGUGUGAUGCGGAGCGUGGGAAACCAGGCUAGGUCUCGCGUGUGCAGGCCGGGGAGCCUAGACUUGGUUCUAAGGAUGAUGGCGAACCACAGAAUGUUUCUGGGACAAAACAGGACUCCCCACAUUAAUCACUUCCAAGGACAAAAGUGUGUCCGCUCUGUGUCUCUGGGACCUCACCCCUCUCCACCACUUCUCUCCCCCAGAAUAGAGUGCUAGCUGCCCCACUGUUCUUCCUGCAGUGUCACCCCUCUGAUCCAUCAUCCAAAAGAGAAAGUCCCCAAACACCUCCCUGACCACAUCACACCUCUCAGAAUCUUCCACUGGCUCUUACCGUCUAUGGGAUCACGUCCCGAUACUGCAGUAGCGUGACAUCCUGAUAUCUAGUACGGAGAGGAGACUGGACGUCCUAGUAUCCAGGACGGAGGACUGUCACAAGAGACUGUCACUCAAACCAGUCAACUAACUUAAGGAAGAAGAAUGAUCCCUGGGGACAAACAGCUGUGGGAGUGACUGUGCCCCUGUUGAGACCCUUUCCUGAGUGAGAGGUGUUACGGGCUCUAAGAGGCUGUGGAAGGUUAAAAUCAGACCCCUCCCCACCAGUGUGGAGACCCUUCCGCUGGCUCCUCUUUGUCAUCUCGCCCUAAGUGGUCACUGAAUUUCUCCAUGUCUCAAAUGACCACUCUGUGAGUGAGGGUGGAGCAUCAGGGCGGGGAAACCAAAGUCUCGAGCACACGGCCUGCUGGGUGGCCAGAGGGCUUCAGAGAUUCCUGAGAGAAUCCCACAGUCAGCAGAGAGGGUGGAGACGGUCAGCAGAGGGGAACAAGUUAAGGUCAAUCUAGUACU